RNAcentral lists this ribosomal RNA (463 nucleotides) under uncultured bacterium. RNAcentral describes it as "partial 16S ribosomal RNA". It matches the Rfam family "Bacterial small subunit ribosomal RNA", at positions 28 to 507 of the family's 1533-position model. The record is from RNAcentral.
GAUGAACGCUGACAGAAUGCUUAACACAUGCAAGUCGAUGGGGAAGUGGUGCUUGCACCAUGGUAACCAUGGCGGACGGGUGAGUAACGCGUAAGGAACUUGCCUGCGGGACUGGGAUAACAGCAGGAAUCUGCUGAUAAUACCGGAUAAGGUCAUUAAGCUGCAUAGCUUAGUGAUGAAAGGAGACGCCUGCGGAGAGCCUUGCGUCCUAUUAGCUAGUUGGAGGGGUAACGGCCCACCAAGGCGAAGAUAGGUAGCCGGCCUGAGAGGGUGGACGGCCACAAGGGGACUGAGAUACGGCCCUUACUCCUACGGGAGGCAGCAGUGGGGAAUAUUGGACAAUGGGGGCAACCCUGAUCCAGCAAUUCUGUGUGCACGAAGACGGUUUUCGGAUUGUAAAGUGCUUUCAGCAGGGAAGAAGGAAGUGACGGUACCUGCAGAAGAAGCGACGGCUAAAUACGUG